CCCUUAGAUGUUCUGGGCCGCACGCGUGCUGCACUGAGUGGAUCAGCGGGUCAGGUUGCGCGAAAGCGUUUCCUAAUCUUUAAAUCCGCUCGUGAUGGGGAUUGACGGUUGCAAUUUUCUGUCAUGAACGAGGAAUACCUUGUAAGCGCGGGUCAUCAUCCCGCGCUGAAUACGUCCCUGCCCUUUGUACACACCGCCCGUCGCUCCUACCGAUUGAGUGGUCCGGUGAGGCUUUGGGAUCUGAGCGGAAAGAGCGUUUCGCUGUUUCUGCUCGGAAAACUCAGUCGAACCUUAUCAUUUAGAGGAAGUAGAAGUCGUAACA
Molecule: ribosomal RNA, 322 nt
Filed under: uncultured eukaryote
Lineage: Eukaryota
Description: partial 18S ribosomal RNA
Rfam family: Eukaryotic small subunit ribosomal RNA
Source: RNAcentral